GAAAAAAGGCGCUUCUAGCUUCAGUGAUGCAAGAACAUUUGAGCAUACACGUAAUCUCUGAGCAAAAGCAGAGCCUAUUCAUAAAAGAACAAUGUAUAUUUAAAAGCACACAUCCAGUUUUGUGUGAGUGAAGGAAAUCCACUUGCGAGUGGAGAUUCGUGCUCACGCAUUACAUGGAUCACGUAACAUUAUGCGCUCUCGAUAUCUGUCAAAUAUCACGCUAUAGAAACCGCCUAAAAUUAAGUAUAAAGAGGAGAAGAAAGCGGCCCUAGGCAGCUACACAUGCCAGGAUCCGCCACUGCCAGAUGCAGUUUACAAGUCUAUUGCAAGACAUCUGGUGGGGGUGGGGGGGAGACACCUGGGGUGGCCAGCCAAAUUUCAGGGGGGGCCGGUGCCACCCCUGGCCACCACGUAGACACGCCUCUGGUUAGAACUAAACUCUGCAGGGCUACGGCCCUCCAGGAACUGAGUUUGACACCCCUGGGAUAGGCCUAUUAAUCUCAAACUAGUUGUUUUUAAUUAAAGAAAUCAGUUAUUUAGAAUAAUAAGACAUUUGGGCUGUUACCAGGCAAAUCAGUAUCAACAAACUCAUCUUUUCAAUGCAGACGAAAUGCAGAAGCUUCAUCGGAAGUGGCAUUUAGAUGUAUUUACACACUGUAGGACAAGAAUGCAUUUAACCUGCAGUUACAAAUGCACAAAUAAUGUUUUGAUAUUACAAGACAUAAAAUGUUCAAUACUUAUUUGAAAUUAUAAGAAAUUAAUUAUUUUAAAAAAAUCAAAAGAUACUUUAAAUGUGAAAUUAAAAUGGCCAGUAUGUGUCAGCAAGUCUGUUAAUAAGUGAUUCAUUGAGAUUGAACGAAUCAUUUAAACGGUUGAUUCAUUCAGGAACGAAACACUGUUAUGUUGCUCAGAGACGCAAAACUGUGCUUUGGUGGCUGUGUUGGGAAUUAUUUUUUGCUGUAGAAAUAGAGCAAAUAUAUAUAUAAUCAUGAUGAUUUUUGGAGGAAAACACGGCAUUCUUUGUGUGAUUUUGAUGAUAUACUAUAUGAAAUGAUAUAAAUAUGUACAUUUUCUGCACUUAUAUCUCCAAUUUUGUGAUCAUUCUAAAUGCAUUUUACAAGACUGAAUCACACAGUGAAAGAACGGACUAUAAAUGCGCGCGCACAUCAUUAAAACAACAAUUAUGAUAUUAUCGCAGACAAUAUACAGUAUAUUGCACACUCCGCACCACUGUCUUUUUGGCUAAUUUGUGCAAAACUUAUUGCUAAAAUGUCAAAGCUUCAUUUUAACCACCAGUGCAACAAUGCAAUUGUUUAGCUUACCUCUACAUGCUUGCAAAGGGUUGAUGUC
This is a long non-coding RNA of Cyprinus carpio (common carp), 1350 nucleotides long. The record is from Ensembl. Lineage: Eukaryota; Metazoa; Chordata; Actinopteri; Cypriniformes; Cyprinidae.